This 467-nucleotide long non-coding RNA is filed under the name Salmo salar (Atlantic salmon). RNAcentral's name for it is "lncRNA (ENSSSAG00000107642.1)". The record is from RNAcentral. Lineage: Eukaryota; Metazoa; Chordata; Actinopteri; Salmoniformes; Salmonidae.
CAAAGAGAGGCUGUUGAUAUUGGUCACAGGGGAUGGGCCAUUACCAUUGUGACGUCGGCGCCCAUGGCUACUCUCCCUUUUCGAAACGUUUUGAAAGACAAUGCAACCGUCCCCAUGGAAUCUUAUUGGAGCUCUAGUUGAAAAACGCCCAAAAGAUUUAUGUUAUACAACGUUUGACAUGUUUGAACGAACUUAAAUAUAUAUUUUUUGCUCAUUCCUGACGACAAGUCCGACGCACACGGUACAUUUUCAGUAGCCUUAGAGCGCGCUAACACUAUUGGGACAUAAAUUAUUAACUUUUUCGAACAAAACUACAUUUGUUAUGGACCUUGUAUUCCUAGAAGUGCCUUCUGAUAAAGAUAAUCAAAGAGCUUCAUUUUAUCUACACCAUUUCCUUCGCCUCUCCAACCCUUCUCUCCUUUUUCUGGGCUGUGACGUGAGAGAAAAGCCAACCAACUGACUCAUCA